RNAcentral lists this ribosomal RNA (2130 nucleotides) under Scedosporium apiospermum. RNAcentral describes it as "bacterial SSU rRNA". It matches the Rfam family "Eukaryotic small subunit ribosomal RNA". Lineage: Eukaryota; Fungi; Ascomycota; Sordariomycetes; Microascales; Microascaceae. The record is from RNAcentral.
AUGGCGUUACAGGUUCCAGGUUACACGCUUCAAAGACCCACUUUACGUGUCAGUGGACAGGACUCUACAUAUACAACAGGGCGACACAGUGUAGGAUAAAUUAACACUAUAAUGUUGUGACGGUGAAAAGGGGGACAUUCUCACAUGACUGCAAGGAUGGGCCGGAAGAACUUUAUUCCCUGCUAUAAGCCAUGACCAUAAUUAUUUCUUUUCUUUCCUUCUUCCAGAAGGAAUUCUAGAAGUUCUUCAAUCAAUCAAGUCAUCAGUNUCAAAUUUCUUCCCUAUCAACUUUCGAUGCGAAGGUCUUGUCUUCGCAUGGUUGCAACGGGUAACGGAGGGUUAGGGCUCGACCCCGGAGAAGGAGCCUGAGAAACGGCUACUACAUCCAAGGAAGGCAGCAGGCAAUCCCGACACGGGGAGGUAGUGACAAUAAAUACUGAUACAGGGCUCUUUUGGGUCUUGUAAUCGGAAUGAGUACAAUUUAAAUCCCUUAACGAGGAACAAUUGGAGGGCAAGUCUGGUGCCAGCAGCCGCGGUAAUUCCAGCUCCAAUAGCGUAUAUUAAAGUUGUUGUGGUUAAAAAGCUCGUAGUUGAACCUUGGGCCUGGCUGGCCGGUCCCCCUCACCGGGUGCACUGAUCCAGCCGGGCCUUUCCCUCUGUGGAACCCCAUGGCCUUCACUGGCCGUGGCGGGGAAACAGGACUUUUACUUUGAAAAAAUUAGAGUGCUCCAGGCAGGCCUAUGCUCGAAUACAUUAGCAUGGAAUAAUAGAAUAGGACGUGUGGUUCUAUUUUGUUGGUUUCUAGGACCGCCGUAAUGAUUAAUAGGGACAGUCGGGGGCAUCAGUAUUCAAUUGUCAGAGGUGAAAUUCUUGGAUCUAUUGAAGACUAACUACUGCGAAAGCAUUUGCCAAGGAUGUUUUCAUUGAUAAGGAACGAAAGUUAGGGGAUCGAAGACGAUCAGAUACCGUCGUAGUCUUAACUAUAAACUAUGCCGACUAGGGAUCGGACGAUGUUAUUUCUUGACGCGUUCGGCACCUUUCGAGAAAUCAAAGUGCUUGGGCUCCAGGGGGAGUAUGGUCGCAAGGCUGAAACUUAAAGAAAUUGACGGAAGGGCACCACCAGGGGUUAACGUCUAACUGUUAAGCCACAGAAGAAAUCUGCUCCUGAAAGCCGCCCGAAAGGGUGAGGUGGUGUCCGGAGCGUGCGAGCUCGAAUUUAAAGGCUAGUCCUCCAAUGCGGAGGGCGACAUCCUCAAAUUGCGGGGAACUCCUAAAGCUUUCACUCCAAAGCCGGUUCGCGAAAGCCGCCGGUGGCCAGGUUAACAGCCUCGGGUACUGGAAAAACGUGGAAGAUGCGACAAUGGACAAUCCGCAGCCAAGCCCCUAAAGGCUCCCCGUCGAGGGACGCCCACGGGGAAGGUUCAGAGACUUAACGGGGAUGGGUAUGCGCCGAGAGGCGCCUGCUUAAGAUAAAGUCCGGCCCUGCGCGAGAGCGCGGGGGUAGCAGGGAACCUGCGGCUUAAUUUGACUCAACACGGGGAAACUCACCAGGUCCAGACACAGUGAGGAUUGACAGAUUGAGAGCUCUUUCUUGAUUCUGUGGGUGGUGGUGCAUGGCCGUUCUUAGUUGGUGGAGUGAUUUGUCUGCUUAAUUGCGAUAACGAACGAGACCUUAACCUGCUAAAUAGCCCGUACUGCUUUGGCAGUUCGCCGGCUUCUUAGAGGGACUAUCGGCUCAAGCCGAUGGAAGUUUGAGGCAAUAACAGGUCUGUGAUGCCCUUAGAUGUCCUGGGCCGCACGCGCGUUACACUGACAGAGCCAGCGAGUAUUUCCUUGGCCGGAAGGCCCGGGUAAUCUUGUUAAACUCUGUCGUGCUGGGGAUAGAGCAUUGCAAUUAUUGCUCUUCAACGAGGAAUCCCUAGUAAGCGCAAGUCAUCAGCUUGCGUUGAUUACGUCCCUGCCCUUUGUACACACCGCCCGUCGCUACUACCGAUUGAAUGGCUCAGUGAGGCCUCCGGACUGGCCCAGAGAGGUGGGCAACUACCACUCAGGGCCGGAAAGUUGUCCAAACUCGGUCAUUUAGAGGAAGUAAAAGUCGUAACAAGGUCUCCGUUGGUGAACCAGCGGAGG